This 522-nucleotide ribosomal RNA is filed under the name bacterium 19-L049659-122-016-C03. Its description in RNAcentral is "bacterial SSU rRNA". It matches the Rfam family "Bacterial small subunit ribosomal RNA", at positions 57 to 593 of the family's 1533-position model. The record is from RNAcentral.
GCAGUCGAACGAUGAUCCCAGCUUGCUGGGGGAUUAGUGGCGAACGGGUGAGUAACACGUGAGUAACCUGCCCUUAACUCUGGGAUAAGCCUGGGAAACUGGGUCUAAUACCGGAUAUGACUCCUCAUCGCAUGGUGGGGGGUGGAAAGCUUUAUUGUGGUUUUGGAUGGACUCGCGGCCUAUCAGCUUGUUGGUGAGGUAAUGGCUCACCAAGGCGACGACGGGUAGCCGGCCUGAGAGGGUGACCGGCCACACUGGGACUGAGACACGGCCCAGACUCCUACGGGAGGCAGCAGUGGGGAAUAUUGCACAAUGGGCGAAAGCCUGAUGCAGCGACGCCGCGUGAGGGAUGACGGCCUUCGGGUUGUAAACCUCUUUCAGUAGGGAAGAAGCGAAAGUGACGGUACCUGCAGAAGAAGCGCCGGCUAACUACGUGCCAGCAGCCGCGGUAAUACGUAGGGCGCAAGCGUUAUCCGGAAUUAUUGGGCGUAAAGAGCUCGUAGGCGGUUUGUCGCGUCUGCC